CCUCCCUCCGUCCAUGAUCACUCACGGAGUAUGUCACCGAGUGGCACCAUCCUUCAAGCCGGGCGGCAGAGCUCCAUUUCUGGCUCCCCUCCCGCCUCCUUAGCACCCCCCACGACGGGGCUUAGCAUUCUUUAGAUUUACAUUGUUUAAAACUUCAGAUUUGAACAAUGUAAAUCUGAAGUUUUCCCUGCAACCAGUGGGUAUAUGUAAUUCUUGGAGUAAUUCUUGGUGGCAGCAUUGAUCGAUGUAAUUCUUGGAGUUCGGUUGGUGUAAUUCCUGACCAUCCUCUACCCACAUUAUUUCCCAAGGACUAGGAUGAUGAUCUACAAGUUUAUUGGGAGGGGAUUGGAGUUGUACAGAAUAUUUGUUGUUGGCCUAUUAUGUACUGAAAAGUAGAGUGUUUUGGUGAAGUUUUGAAA
This is a long non-coding RNA of Juglans microcarpa x Juglans regia, 419 nucleotides long. RefSeq lists it as uncharacterized. Lineage: Eukaryota; Viridiplantae; Streptophyta; Magnoliopsida; Fagales; Juglandaceae. The record is from RefSeq and is a predicted model, not a curated record. The transcript is spliced from 3 exons.